CAGGUCAAAAAAAUAAUUUAUCUGAACUAGAAAUACAGAACUCAUAGAGGAACAGAAUAAUACAAAUAAUUUACGAAAUUUAAGAUGCCUAUUGUAUAAAUCUGAAUCAUUACUUUCUAAUAACAGAGCUCAUAAAUGUUCAGUAUGUAAGAAGCCAGUCCAUGUACUUCCAGAAUGCUCAGCACACCAGCCAGAUGACGAUGAAAUAUUUAUUUGUUAUAGUUGCUUAGAGAGUAAUGAAAUACUUAUUGAAGAUAAUGCAACGGAUGAAUGUAACCAAAAAUGUAAAAAACAAAUUAAAAGUAGUUCAUAUCUCUUUACAAAUCUACAUUUACGGCACAUGAAUUCACAGAAUUAACGUCUUUUACCUUUGUUAAAAAAUGGAUCCUGAGCAGAAGAACUUAAAGUUGUAAAUUAAAAAGUUGAGGUUCAAAUGUAGUUUUAAGUCCCAGUCAGUUCUUUUCAGAAGGGAUUGUAAAAAAUAAAACAAAUAUGUUGAUUUUAUAUCAGUUGGUUUCUAAUGAAAUUGCUGCAUACACAUAUACAGAUAGAGCAGAAUUAACUAUUUUGUUACUUAAUCCAGUAUUAGAAGCACUUGAAUAUAAUACUUUUUUUUGUAAAGUGUGAGACUACACCUAAGCCUAUUUGCAAGUCUAUGUUCAGAGAGUUUCCAUGUAUCAUAGAAAGAAGUAGUUGUUCUAAUGAAAAAUGUGAAACGUUUCAAAAAACAUACUAUCCGAUCUACAUUAUAACAUAUAACAUCACAAAUAGCAUCAUCAGUGAUGAUCUGCAAGAAUUUAUUAGUUACCAAUUUCAAAAUGAACAAAUUAUACCGAUAAAUUGGAAAAAUCUCAAUACAA
Non-coding RNA from Cinara cedri, 860 nucleotides. NCBI's taxonomy places the organism in Eukaryota, Metazoa, Arthropoda, Insecta, Hemiptera, Aphididae. The record is from the annotation of a GenBank genome assembly.